AUUGAACGCUGGCGGCAGGCCUAACACAUGCAAGUCGAACGGUAACAGAAAGCAGCUUGCUGCUUUGCUGACGAGUGGCGGACGGGUGAGUAAUGUCUGGGAAGCUGCCUGAUGGAGGGGGAUAACUACUGGAAACGGUAGCUAAUACCGCAUAACGUCGCAAGACCAAAGAGGGGGACCUUCGGGCCUCUUGCCAUCGGAUGUGCCCAGAUGGGAUUAGCUUGUUGGUGGGGUAACGGCUCACCAAGGCGACGAUCCCUAGCUGGUCUGAGAGGAUGACCAGCCACACUGGAACUGAGACACGGUCCAGACUCCUACGGGAGGCAGCAGUGGGGAAUAUUGCACAAUGGGCGCAAGCCUGAUGCAGCCAUGCCGCGUGUAUGAAGAAGGCCUUCGGGUUGUAAAGUACUUUCAGCGGGGAGGAAGGGAGUAAAGUUAAUACCUUUGCUCAUUGACGUUACCCGCAGAAGAAGCACCGGCUAACUCCGUG
RNAcentral lists this ribosomal RNA (490 nucleotides) under uncultured bacterium. RNAcentral describes it as "partial 16S ribosomal RNA". It matches the Rfam family "Bacterial small subunit ribosomal RNA", at positions 30 to 507 of the family's 1533-position model. The record is from RNAcentral.